UACGUAGGGUGCGAGCGUUGUCCGGAAUUAUUGGGCGUAAAGAGCUCGUAGGCGGCCUGUUGCGUCCGUCGUGAAAGCCCGGGGCUCAACCCCGGUUCUGCGGUGGAUACGGGCAGACUAGAGUUCGGCAGGGGAGACUGGAAUUCCUGGUGUAGCGGUGAAAUGCGCAGAUAUCAGGAGGAACACCGGUGGCGAAGGCGGGUCUCUGGGCCGAUACUGACGCUGAGGAGCGAAAGCGUGGGGAGCGAACAGG
This 253-nucleotide ribosomal RNA is filed under the name uncultured bacterium. RNAcentral's name for it is "partial 16S ribosomal RNA". It matches the Rfam family "Bacterial small subunit ribosomal RNA", at positions 524 to 776 of the family's 1533-position model. The record is from RNAcentral.